AGCUCCAGUAGCGUAUAUUAAAGUUGCUGCAGUUAAAAAGCUCGUAGUUGGAUUUCUGGUUGAAUGCGCCUGGCCCGCCUCGAUUCGAGUGUGAGUGCUGGUGUGCGUUUGCCAUCCUUCUAGAAAACGUUUCCUCCUUCAUUGGCUGGAUUCGCAAUCUAGAUCAUUUACUUUGAAAAAAUUAGAGUGUUUAAAGCAGGCUUGUGCUAUGAAUACAUUAGCAUGGAAUAAUAAUUUAGGACUUCGGUUCUAUUUUGUUGGUUUCUAGUACUGAAGUAAUGAUUGAUAGGGAGCGUUGGGGGUGCUAGUAUUCAGCGGCCAGAGGUGAAAUUCUUGGAUUCGCUGAAGACUAACUUAUGCGAAAGCAUUCACCAAGGAGCUCUUCUUUAAUCAAGAACGA
This 400-nucleotide ribosomal RNA is filed under the name phytoplankton environmental sample. RNAcentral's name for it is "partial small subunit ribosomal RNA". It matches the Rfam family "Eukaryotic small subunit ribosomal RNA", at positions 587 to 986 of the family's 1831-position model. The record is from RNAcentral.